Molecule: ribosomal RNA, 495 nt
Filed under: uncultured bacterium
Lineage: Bacteria
Description: partial 16S ribosomal RNA
Rfam family: Bacterial small subunit ribosomal RNA
Source: RNAcentral
AUUGAACGCUGGCGGCAUGCCUUACACAUGCAAGUCGAACGGUAACAGGUCAAGCUGACGAGUGGCGAACGGGUGAGUAAUAUAUCGGAACGUGCCCAGUCGUGGGGGAUAACGUAGCGAAAGCUGCGCUAAUACCGCAUACGAUCUCUGGAUGAAAGCGGGGGACUCGCAAGAGCCUCGCGCGAUUGGAACGGCCGAUAUCAGAUUAGGUAGUUGGUGGGGUAAAAGCCCACCAAGCCGACGAUCUGUAGCUGGUCUGAGAGGACGACCAGCCACACUGGGACUGAGACACGGCCCAGACUCCUACGGGAGGCAGCAGUGGGGAAUUUUGGACAAUGGGCGGAAGCCUGAUCCAGCCAUGCCGCGUGCAGGACGAAGGCCUUCGGGUUGUAAACUGCUUUUGUACGGAACGAAACGGCUCUCUCUAAUACGGGGGGCUAAUGACGGUACCGUAAGAAUAAGCACCGGCUAACUACGUGCCAGCAGCCGCAGUAA